UACUCCUACGGGAGGCAGCAGUGAGGAAUAUUGGUCAAUGGGCGAGAGCCUGAGACCAGCCAAGUAGCGUGCAGGACGACGGCCCUAUGGGUUGUAAACUGCUUUUGUAUGGAGAUAAAGUCAAUCACGUGUGAUUGUUUGCAGGUACCAUACGAAUAAAGACCGGCUAAUUCCGUGCCAGCAGCCGCGGUAAUAC
RNAcentral lists this ribosomal RNA (196 nucleotides) under uncultured Prevotella sp. RNAcentral's name for it is "partial 16S ribosomal RNA". It matches the Rfam family "Bacterial small subunit ribosomal RNA", at positions 334 to 526 of the family's 1533-position model. Lineage: Bacteria; Pseudomonadati; Bacteroidota; Bacteroidia; Bacteroidales; Prevotellaceae. The record is from RNAcentral.